GACAGUUCGGUCCCUAUCCGUCGCAGGCGUAGGAAAGUUGAGAAGACCUGUCCUUAGUACGAGAGGACCGGGAUGGACGUACCUCUGGUGUACCAGUUGUCCUGCCAAGGGAAUGGCUGGGUAGCUAUGUACGGAAUGGAUAAGCGCUGAAAGCAUCUAAGCGCGAAGCCAACUUCAAGAUAAGAUGUCCCACCGCAAGGGUAAGACCCCAGAAAGACUAUCUGGUUGAUAGGUCGAAGGUGUAAGUGCAGCAAUGUAUUUAGCUUAUCGAUACUAAUAGGUCGAGGACUUGACCAAU
Molecule: ribosomal RNA, 298 nt
Filed under: Clostridioides difficile
Lineage: Bacteria; Bacillati; Bacillota; Clostridia; Peptostreptococcales; Peptostreptococcaceae
Description: partial 23S ribosomal RNA
Rfam family: Bacterial large subunit ribosomal RNA
Source: RNAcentral